RNAcentral lists this ribosomal RNA (314 nucleotides) under uncultured Ruminococcus sp. RNAcentral's name for it is "bacterial SSU rRNA". It matches the Rfam family "Bacterial small subunit ribosomal RNA", at positions 28 to 339 of the family's 1533-position model. The record is from RNAcentral. Lineage: Bacteria; Bacillati; Bacillota; Clostridia; Eubacteriales; Oscillospiraceae.
GACGAACGCUGGCGGCACGCCUAACACAUGCAAGUCGAACGGAGAUUACUAAGCUUGCUUUGUAAUCUUAGUGGCGGACGGGUGAGUAACACGUGAGCAACCUGCCUCUGAGAGAGGGAUAGCUUCUGGAAACGGAUGGUAAUACCUCAUAAUGUAGCGAAACCGCAUGAUUUUGCUACCAAAGAUUUAUCACUCAGAGAUGGGCUCGCGUCUGAUUAGCUAGUUGGUGAGGUAACGGCUCACCAAGGCGACGAUCAGUAGCCGGACUGAGAGGUUGAACGGCCACAUUGGGACUGAGACACGGCCCAGACUCC